UGCCAGCAGCCGCGGUAAUACGGAGGGGGCUAGCGUUGCUCGGAAUUACUGGGCGUAAAGGGCGCGUAGGCGGAUUUUCUAGUCAGGCGUGAAAGCCCCGGGCUCAACCCGGGAACUGCGUUUGAUACUGGAAGUCUAGAGUUCUGGAGAGGGUGGUGGAAUUCCCAGUGUAGAGGUGAAAUUCGUAGAUAUUGGGAAGAACACCGGUGGCGAAGGCGGCCACCUGGCCAGACACUGACGCUAAGGCGCGAAAGCGUGGGGAGCAAACAGGAUUAGAUA
RNAcentral lists this ribosomal RNA (279 nucleotides) under uncultured bacterium. RNAcentral describes it as "partial 16S ribosomal RNA". It matches the Rfam family "Bacterial small subunit ribosomal RNA", at positions 506 to 784 of the family's 1533-position model. The record is from RNAcentral.